This 69-nucleotide transfer RNA is filed under the name Marmota marmota marmota (Alpine marmot). It matches the Rfam family "tRNA". Rfam says of the family: Transfer RNA (tRNA) molecules are approximately 80 nucleotides in length. The record is from Rfam by way of RNAcentral. RNAcentral also lists the same sequence under 3 other names. Lineage: Eukaryota; Metazoa; Chordata; Mammalia; Rodentia; Sciuridae.
GGGGUUGUGGCUCAGUGGUAGAGCACUUGCCUAGCAUGUGUGAGGUUCUGGGUUCGAUACUCAGCACCA